ACACUCCUACGGGAGGCAGCAGUGGGGAAUAUUGGACAAUGGGCGCAAGCCUGAUCCAGCCAUGCCGCGUGAGUGAUGAAGGCCCUAGGGUUGUAAAGCUCUUUCACCGGUGAAGAUAAUGACGGUAACCGGAGAAGAAGCCCCGGCUAACUUCGUGCCAGCAGCCGCGGUAAUACGAAGGGGGCUAGCGUUGUUCGGAUUUACUGGGCGUAAAGCGCACGUAGGCGGACUAUUAAGUCAGGGGUGAAAUCCCGGGGCUCAACCCCGGAACUGCCUUUGAUACUGGUAGUCUUUAGAUCGAGAGAGGUGAGUGGAAUUCCGAGUGUAGAGGUGAAAUUCGUAGAUAUUCGGAGGAACACCAGUGGCGAAGGCGGCUCACUGGCUCGAUACUGACGCUGAGGUGCGAAAGCGUGGGGAGCAAACAGGAUUAGAUACCCUAGUAGUCCCAUG
Molecule: ribosomal RNA, 450 nt
Filed under: uncultured organism
Description: partial 16S ribosomal RNA
Rfam family: Bacterial small subunit ribosomal RNA
Source: RNAcentral